Molecule: long non-coding RNA, 2119 nt
Organism: Brassica napus (rape)
Lineage: Eukaryota; Viridiplantae; Streptophyta; Magnoliopsida; Brassicales; Brassicaceae
Exons: 4
Source: RefSeq, a predicted model, not a curated record
AAUGUCAUAUUUUGGAGAUUUGCCCUUAAAAAUAAAAAUAUAAUUAUUCUAUAUACUGUGUUAUUAUCAAGGCAAAUCAAAGCUAUAGAAAAACAAAAAAACUCUCCAAACAUCUUUCUAUUUUUUAUUCAUGUCUUAAUAAUUUUUUAUAUUACGUCUUCAAAUUAAUUCUUCCGCCAAAGUCUAUCCUCAUCAAUUAAUUCAUAAACUGGAAAAAUCGGUGUACAACAUAUAAUAAAAUCUUAAUUUAAAUAAACAAUGAAAUUUGAUUUUUUCAUAGCUAAUCAUCUAAAAUUAAAAUAUUUAAAAGCAUUUUCCGCGCGUAGCGCGGACAAAGAUUCUAGUAGUUCUAAUAUUUUAAAGAUUUACGCCACAUAGGCAUAUACUUUAAAUAUAUUGCUUAUAUUUUCAUUUAACUCUAGUGAAAUUACAAAUAAAACAAAAUUUAAAAUAUUUAGUGAAAGUAAGAAAAAAUGAUUAAGAUGAAUAUUUUUUGUAAUUUUCUUGUAUUAAUGCGAAAAGAAUAUAAAUCUUAAGAUAUUUCAAUAAAUAUCUGACGACAUAUAUAUCUAUAAAUAUAGAUAUAUAUAAUUAAUAAACAAAAUAUAUUUGUUCAUUCUAUAUUAUAUCAUUCUAGCAUUUAGCACCAAAGCUAGGAAACUUAAAACCAGAAGGACAUUGUUUAUCGAUAUUUAAGAAGAAGAUCUCCUCCACUGAAAACAAACAUAAAAUAAACUAGAAAAUGAUUACAAAUCAUAAAGAAAAUGCAUAUAUCAAGGAGCUACAAAGUGAAGAUCAGAAAUAUAAAUAAAUGAGAAAGAAACAAUUUUAUUGACAUCGAAUGGACAAAAGGUGGAAUAAGAAGGGACCAUCGUCUCCAUUUUCAGAAGUCCUUUGGUGUUUGUGGUAUCACUUAAUAAAAAUAAAUUUGAUCCCAAAUACUUACAUUAAGGUCUUGGUCCUGCGGUAGUCUUUGGAUCAACUUUCUUUACUAAUACUAAAGUACAUAUGAUUUGAGUGGACGCAACUAAAAUAGCAUCUCAGGGACUAACACGUCAAACGUAACAAAUAUAAUUAGUGCAUCAGUAAUUUGAAAUUCUAGUCUAAAUAAGAUGAAACUUGGAGGCUGGAGCGACAAAUAAAAGAUAUGUGCUAGUCUAUUUUUUCUGUUGACUGAGCCCUCCUUUUAUAGUUGGGAAGUGUUCCGACGACAAAAGAUAGUUCGUCGUCCUUGUUGUCAAGGUUAUAUAUUCAUUUUAUCGGGUUAAGUCAUAUAUUCCCUGUAACAUAGAUGCAGCUCGCUUCAUCCUAAAGCAUUAUAUACCGUUUAAGCACUGUAAUGACCCACCUCCACUAUCCCCACUAUCUCCACCAUCUCCACCAUCCCCACCACUCCCACCAUCUCCACCAUCCCCAACUUCUUUAAAGAGAAAGAGAGAGAGGGAGAGAGAGAGAGAAAGAGAGAGAAAGCUCACCUGAGCUCGUCGCCGGAGCAACCGUGUGCCGUGAUCACGUUCAGCUUGCCACCCCCGAUAAACGCCCUAGGCCAUCAUCGUGUUCCUCUCGUCGAGACGAAGCCGUAGACACCAACCACGCCUCAAACGGAGCCCGGACGAAGCCGCACGCGCCUCCCGAAGAUUCGCCCCGGCGCGCGCGUGAAACGCACGCGCCACCGCCUUCCGCCGGAGCCACCGCGAGUUCCGGCCACGCGCCGCCGUCUCCGACCAAUGUUCGCCGGAGCUGCCGUGACCGACCACCGUCCGUCCGCCGCCGAGAAGCCGCCGCCGCGUCGCCGCCUCGCCGCCGUCGCCGCCGUUGAUUUACCGAUUUGGAGUCCAUUUGAGCAGCUGGAGUUCAUAGAUAUCUCUUAUUAUUGCUAAGGUGAGACCAAUGAGCAGGAGUGAUUAUCGGACCGGUGCUAUUGGGCUUUUGGGCUUCUAUCGCUUUUACCGCUUUUAUCUUUAUCGGGCCUUUAGGCCUUUGGACUUUUAUCGUCUAUGUUAUUCCUAUUUCAGACUUUCGGUUUAUAUCGUAUUUUAUAUUUCGGAUGUUAUCGAUGUUGGGCUUUUAGGCCUUUUGUUACCGUAUUGACUUUUAUAUUAUAUGAAGAUUAUUAUUA